Molecule: ribosomal RNA, 2220 nt
Filed under: Escherichia coli
Lineage: Bacteria; Pseudomonadati; Pseudomonadota; Gammaproteobacteria; Enterobacterales; Enterobacteriaceae
Description: partial 23S ribosomal RNA
Rfam family: Bacterial large subunit ribosomal RNA
Source: RNAcentral
UUUUGUAUAAUGGGUCAGCGACUUAUAUUCUGUAGCAAGGUUAACCGAAUAGGGGAGCCGAAGGGAAACCGAGUCUUAACUGGGCGUUAAGUUGCAGGGUAUAGACCCGAAACCCGGUGAUCUAGCCAUGGGCAGGUUGAAGGUUGGGUAACACUAACUGGAGGACCGAACCGACUAAUGUUGAAAAAUUAGCGGAUGACUUGUGGCUGGGGGUGAAAGGCCAAUCAAACCGGGAGAUAGCUGGUUCUCCCCGAAAGCUAUUUAGGUAGCGCCUCGUGAAUUCAUCUCCGGGGGUAGAGCACUGUUUCGGCAAGGGGGUCAUCCCGACUUACCAACCCGAUGCAAACUGCGAAUACCGGAGAAUGUUAUCACGGGAGACACACGGCGGGUGCUAACGUCCGUCGUGAAGAGGGAAACAACCCAGACCGCCAGCUAAGGUCCCAAAGUCAUGGUUAAGUGGGAAACGAUGUGGGAAGGCCCAGACAGCCAGGAUGUUGGCUUAGAAGCAGCCAUCAUUUAAAGAAAGCGUAAUAGCUCACUGGUCGAGUCGGCCUGCGCGGAAGAUGUAACGGGGCUAAACCAUGCACCGAAGCUGCGGCAGCGACGCUUAUGCGUUGUUGGGUAGGGGAGCGUUCUGUAAGCCUGUGAAGGUGUACUGUGAGGUAUGCUGGAGGUAUCAGAAGUGCGAAUGCUGACAUAAGUAACGAUAAAGCGGGUGAAAAGCCCGCUCGCCGGAAGACCAAGGGUUCCUGUCCAACGUUAAUCGGGGCAGGGUGAGUCGACCCCUAAGGCGAGGCCGAAAGGCGUAGUCGAUGGGAAACAGGUUAAUAUUCCUGUACUUGGUGUUACUGCGAAGGGGGGACGGAGAAGGCUAUGUUGGCCGGGCGACGGUUGUCCCGGUUUAAGCGUGUAGGCUGGUUUUCCAGGCAAAUCCGGAAAAUCAAGGCUGAGGCGUGAUGACGAGGCACUACGGUGCUGAAGCAACAAAUGCCCUGCUUCCAGGAAAAGCCUCUAAGCAUCAGGUAACAUCAAAUCGUACCCCAAACCGACACAGGUGGUCAGGUAGAGAAUACCAAGGCGCUUGAGAGAACUCGGGUGAAGGAACUAGGCAAAAUGGUGCCGUAACUUCGGGAGAAGGCACGCUGAUAUGUAGGUGAAGCGACUUGCUCGUGGAGCUGAAAUCAGUCGAAGAUACCAGCUGGCUGCAACUGUUUAUUAAAAACACAGCACUGUGCAAACACGAAAGUGGACGUAUACGGUGUGACGCCUGCCCGGUGCCGGAAGGUUAAUUGAUGGGGUUAGCGGUAACGCGAAGCUCUUGAUCGAAGCCCCGGUAAACGGCGGCCGUAACUAUAACGGUCCUAAGGUAGCGAAAUUCCUUGUCGGGUAAGUUCCGACCUGCACGAAUGGCGUAAUGAUGGCCAGGCUGUCUCCACCCGAGACUCAGUGAAAUUGAACUCGCUGUGAAGAUGCAGUGUACCCGCGGCAAGACGGAAAGACCCCGUGAACCUUUACUAUAGCUUGACACUGAACAUUGAGCCUUGAUGUGUAGGAUAGGUGGGAGGCUUUGAAGUGUGGACGCCAGUCUGCAUGGAGCCGACCUUGAAAUACCACCCUUUAAUGUUUGAUGUUCUAACGUUGGCCCCUGAUCGGGGUUGCGGACAGUGUCUGGUGGGUAGUUUGACUGGGGCGGUCUCCUCCUAAAGAGUAACGGAGGAGCACGAAGGUUGGCUAAUCCUGGUCGGACAUCAGGAGGUUAGUGCAAUGGCAUAAGCCAGCUUGACUGCGAGCGUGACGGCGCGAGCAGGUGCGAAAGCAGGUCAUAGUGAUCCGGUGGUUCUGAAUGGAAGGGCCAUCGCUCAACGGAUAAAAGGUACUCCGGGGAUAACAGGCUGAUACCGCCCAAGAGUUCAUAUCGACGGCGGUGUUUGGCACCUCGAUGUCGGCUCAUCACAUCCUGGGGCUGAAGUAGGUCCCAAGGGUAUGGCUGUUCGCCAUUUAAAGUGGUACGCGAGCUGGGUUUAGAACGUCGUGAGACAGUUCGGUCCCUAUCUGCCGUGGGCGCUGGAGAACUGAGGGGGGCUGCUCCUAGUACGAGAGGACCGGAGUGGACGCAUCACUGGUGUUCGGGUUGUCAUGCCAAUGGCACUGCCCGGUAGCUAAAUGCGGAAGAGAUAAGUGCUGAAAGCAUCUAAGCACGAAACUUGCCCCGAGAUGAGU